AUGGAGAUGGGAAGGUCGCUAUGGCUCGCGCUUCUGGUCCCUGCGAUCAUGGUGUCCUUCUACGGCGAGGCUGCCAUGGCGGACGCCCAGACAUCGACGGCGGGAGGGUCGCCGCCGGACACGAACGUGCUGUGCGUCAGCAAGUGCGGGACGUGCCCGACGGUAUGCACCACGCCGCCGCCGCCGGGCAGCGAUGGCAGUGGCUACUCCUCGCCGUCGCCUCCGCGCUCUGUGACGACUCAGCCAUCUCCACCGGCCGUGCCGCAGCCGCAGGCCAAGGGAGGGAAGCCCAGCGGCUACUACUACUUCUUCACCGCUGGGAGCGGCCGGAGCUGCGCCGCCUCGAGCGCUCGUUACACGCUACUGCUCCUGGCGCUUCUUCCCAUCGUCGUUCACACCCGCGUUUUGCUGGGCCCUACACUUUAUAAGGCAAGUUGCCCCUCCCGGUCGCCCCUAACCGCCGGUCGCAGGCCCCCUCCUCCUCGACUCCUCCCUCGCCGCCGCCGGCUCGCGCUGACGGGCGAAGCCCGGUUAGCCUCGGCGGCGGCGGGGCCUUCCUUCCCCUGCUCGCUAGGGCCGACGCGGGUCGGGGUCAGCGGGCGGCGGCGUGGCGCUGGCCGAGGGCGGCGUGACGGCGCGGCGGCGGGCGGCAAUGGCGGGGCCGGUGCCUGGCGGCGGCGCGUUGGGCUCGUUGGUGCUCUGUUCCGCGCGGUUGCGCCUGGCGUGGUAGCGGCAGCCACUGAUGGAGCGCGUCGGCCCCCCUUCGGCGGGUGGCUGAUGCAGAUGCAGGGAGCGCCGCUCCUGGCCGCGUGGGCGGCGGAUCGGCGGCUAGCGUGGCUGGCUCAUGGGGCUUCCCCGUUUGCCCUUGGAGUAGAUCUAGCGAUGUGGUGGUCGAGGCUUUGGCAUGGGAGGUGGCUGCCGGAUAUCGUCAGUGGUGUCCCUGCUCGGCCACUUGCGGUUGAAGUUGGCGCCGGCGUGCGACGUUGGCGAUGCUCGGUGGUGCGGCUGCAUGGUGCGGUAGUCGUGCUUGUCGUCCCCUCCCGGCAACCUGUUGGUCCUGGUCAUGCGAGCUCAGGGGUGAGCGACUCUGCCUGUCGAUGGCGUAGUGUCCUCCGAUCCAGGACUAGAGGGCAGGGGGCUCUCUUCGGAGGUAGAGACGGAUGGCAGACCGGAUGGCUUGGCUCAAGGGGGAUGACGGAGUGUGGCAAUCCUCCUGCAGCGGGAUCUACCUCGGCUUAG
This 1239-nucleotide ribosomal RNA is filed under the name Triticum aestivum (bread wheat). RNAcentral describes it as "partial small subunit ribosomal RNA". The record is from RNAcentral. Lineage: Eukaryota; Viridiplantae; Streptophyta; Magnoliopsida; Poales; Poaceae.